Molecule: RNA transcript, 1631 nt
Organism: Prunus mume (Japanese apricot)
Lineage: Eukaryota; Viridiplantae; Streptophyta; Magnoliopsida; Rosales; Rosaceae
Gene name: cell division cycle 20.2, cofactor of APC complex-like
Source: RefSeq, a predicted model, not a curated record
UUUGGCGCCUUAGCUUCGUCGUUUUCACGCACAGUGAGAUACAGGGAAAAAUGAGUUCGAGUUCAUCGAGCAACAUCUUCAGGAACCCUCUUGGAUAACAAAAUUCCUUAUGAGAAAGCCUAAUUGGGAGAAUGUUUAUACCCAAUCGGGCUGCAAUGGACCUUGAUUACAUGCAUUACAUGGUCACAGGAAGGAGAAAAGGAAUCGAGAACCCAUGGGCAGCAAGCCCUACAUAUCAGAAGCUACUGACUGAGACCUUCAACAUGAACCGAGCACGGAUCUUCACAUUCAAGAACAAACCGCCAACCCCAGUUGAAGCCAUUCCAAGGAGAUUGCUCUCACCCCCUCUUCAUAAGGCCAAAUCUACCAAGCCCUGUCGAAGAAUUCCUAAGGAUCCAGAGAGAACAUUGGACGCUUCCGGUAUUGUAGAUAAUUUCUACUUGAAUUUACUAGACUGGAGCAGCAGCAACAUUCUUGCAAUUGCUCUUGGAAACUCAGUGUACCUAUGGAAUCCUUCUCACCGUUCCAUCGUAGAACUUGUCACAAUUGAUGACGAAGAUGGUCCCAUUACAAGCAUCAGCUGGGUUCUUGAUGGGCAGCGUAUUGCCGUUGGCUUGAACAAUUCCUGGGUCCAGUUAUGGGAUUCUGUUAGAUUGAAAGGAACAUUGAGAGGUGGGCACCAUGGAAGAGUAGGUUCACUGGCCUGGAACAAACACAUUCUUACUACAGGAGGAAUGGAUGGUAGAAUUAUCAACAAUGCUGUAAGAGUGAGAUCCCACAUUGUUGGAACCUACAAGGGUCAUGGGCCCGAGGACGUCUGUGGAUUAAAAUGGUCACCCUCAGACCAGCAUUUAGCCAGUGGAGGAAACGAUCAUGUUCUCUUCAUAUGGGACAGGUCAACAGCCUCCUCCAGUUCACCAAGAGAGUGGCUUCAAAGGCUUGAAGACCACACUGCAGCAGUCCAGUCCAUUUCAAGAGAAUUUUUUGGCCUCUGGUGGUGAACUUGACCUGUGCAUUAAGUUCUGGAACACACAAACAGGCUUGUGCUUGAGCUCGGUUGACACUGGCUCGCAGGUGUGUGGUUUUUUGUGGAACAAUUAUGAGCGUGAAUUGCUUAGUUGUCAUGGUUUUAGCAAGAAUGAGCUUAUCCUUUGGAAGUACCGUCAAUGGUGAGGACGACAGAGCUAACUGGCCAUACCUCCAGAGUUCUCUUCAUGACUCAGACCCCAGAUGGAUGCACUGUGGCCACUGCAGCCGCGGAUGAGACGGUUCAAGCUUGGAAUGUGUUUGGGAUUCCGGGAGUUUCAGAACCCGUACGAAAAGAAAAUCUGCUGCCAUCUGCUCAUUCAUACUCCAUUCGUUGAAGAUCAUGUAAAUGCUGGAGAGAAGUUUGUCUGUUUUGUCUCGAAUGCCCAACCAAACAGAUAAGUGUAUAUGGUGUAAAUUAUUGUUUACAAGAAAAAUAAAAAUAAAAAUAAAUAAAUAAAUAACAGGUAAGUGUAUAUGGUUACAUGAAUAGAGAAAAAGAAAAACGCAGUUUUGAUUAGUGAUUGGCAUGCAGUCGCUCGGUUCAGUAUAUCUGAAUAGACAAUAUAACUGUAUUAUCGUGUCAUAUUGAAGCGACAAUUCUG